UACGUAGGGGGCGAGCGUUAUCCGGAUUUAUUGGGCGUAAAGGGUGUGUAGGCGGUUUGUUAAGUCUAAAAUCAAAGCCCGAGGCUUAACCUCGGUUCGUUUUAGAAACUGGCAAACUAGAGUACAGUAGAGGCAAGUGGAAUUUCUAGUGUAGCGGUUAAAUGCGUAGAUAUUAGAAGGAACACCAGUGGCGAAGGCGGCUUGCUGGGCUGUUACUGACGCUGAGACACGAAAGCGUGGGGAGCAAACAGG
This 252-nucleotide ribosomal RNA is filed under the name uncultured bacterium. RNAcentral's name for it is "partial 16S ribosomal RNA". It matches the Rfam family "Bacterial small subunit ribosomal RNA", at positions 524 to 776 of the family's 1533-position model. The record is from RNAcentral.